UGGGGAAUAUUGGACAAUGGGGGCAACCCUGAUCCAGCAAUGCCGCGUGUGUGAAGAAGGUCUUCGGAUUGUAAAGCACUUUCGACGGGGACGAUGAUGACGGUACCCGUAGAAGAAGCCCCGGCUAACUUCGUGCCAGCAGCCGCGGUAAUACGAAGGGGGCUAGCGUUGCUCGGAAUGACUGGGCGUAAAGGGCGUGUAGGCGGUUUACACAGUCAGAUGUGAAAUCCCCGGGCUUAACCUGGGAGCUGCAUUUGAUACGUGUAGACUAGAGUGUGAGAGAGGGUUGUGGAAUUCCCCAGUGUAGAGGUGAAAUUCG
RNAcentral lists this ribosomal RNA (319 nucleotides) under uncultured bacterium. RNAcentral describes it as "partial 16S ribosomal RNA". It matches the Rfam family "Bacterial small subunit ribosomal RNA", at positions 355 to 690 of the family's 1533-position model. The record is from RNAcentral.